CUUAAAAAAGUGAUGAUAUUUUCUCACCCUAAACUGAUAAAUAAUGCAGAAAUAUUCGAACAUGCAUCACCAUCUGAUAAUAUAU
RNAcentral lists this small nucleolar RNA (85 nucleotides) under Teleopsis dalmanni. The record is from RNAcentral. Lineage: Eukaryota; Metazoa; Arthropoda; Insecta; Diptera; Diopsidae.